GACGAACGCUGGCGGCGUGCUUAACACAUGCAAGUCGAGCGGUAAGGCCCUUUCGGGGGUACACGAGCGGCGAACGGGUGAGUAACACGUGGGUGACCUGCCCUUAGCUCUGGGAUAAGCCUGGGAAACUGGGUCUAAUACCGGAUAUGACUCCAUGACGCAUGUUGUGGGGUGGAAAGCCUUGUGCGGCUAGGGAUGGGCCCACGGCCUAUCAGCUUGUUGGUGGGGUGAUGGCCUACCAAGGCGACGACGGGUAGCCGGCCUGA
RNAcentral lists this ribosomal RNA (266 nucleotides) under uncultured bacterium. RNAcentral's name for it is "partial 16S ribosomal RNA". It matches the Rfam family "Bacterial small subunit ribosomal RNA", at positions 28 to 295 of the family's 1533-position model. The record is from RNAcentral.